GACGAACGCUGGCGGCGUGCUUAACACAUGCAAGUCGAACGGAAAGGCCCUGCUUUUGUGGGGUGCUCGAGUGGCGAACGGGUGAGUAACACGUGAGUAACCUGCUCUUGACUUUGGGAUAACUUCAGGAAACUGGGGCUAAUACCGGAUAGGAGCUCCUGCUGCAUGGUGGGGGUUGGAAAGUUUCGGCGGUCGGGGAUGGACUGGCGGCUUAUCAGCUUGUUGGUGGGGUAGUGGCUUACCAAGGCUUUGACGGGUAGCCGGCCUGGGAGGGUGACCGGCCACAUUGGGACUGAGAUACGGCCCAGACUCCUACGGGAGGCAGCAGUGGGGAAUAUUGCACAAUGGGCGGAAGCCUGAUGCAGCAACGCCGCGUGCGGGAUGACGGCCUUCGGGUUGUAAACCGCUUUCGCCUGUGACGAAGCGUGAGUGACGGUAAUGGGUAAAGAAGCACCGGCUAACUACGUG
Molecule: ribosomal RNA, 468 nt
Filed under: uncultured bacterium
Lineage: Bacteria
Description: partial 16S ribosomal RNA
Rfam family: Bacterial small subunit ribosomal RNA
Source: RNAcentral